GAUGACCGCUAGCGGCAGGCNUAAUACAUGCAAGUCGAACGGUAACAUUGGUGCUUGCACCAGAUGACGAGUGGCGCACGGGUGCGUAACGCGUAUGCAACCUACCUUUUACUAGAGUAUAGCCCAGAGAAAUUUGGAUUAAUCCUCUAUAACAUCUUUUAAUUUCAUGAUUUUAAGAUUAAAGUUUUAACGGUAAAAGAUGGGCAUGCGUCCUAUUAGUUUGUAGGUGAGGUAACGGCUCACCUAGACUACGAUAGGUAGGGGCCCUGAGAGGGGGAUCCCCCACACUGGUACUGAGACACGGACCAGACUCCUACGGGAGGCAGCAGUAAGGAAUAUUGGACAAUGGACGAAAGUCUGAUCCAGCCAUGCCGCGUGCAGGAUGACAGCCCUACGGGUUGUAAACUGCUUUUAUACAGGAAGAAACUACUCCGACGUGUCGGAGCUUGACGGUACUGUAAGAAUAAGGAUCGGCUAACUCCGUGCCUGCG
This 491-nucleotide ribosomal RNA is filed under the name uncultured bacterium. RNAcentral describes it as "bacterial SSU rRNA". It matches the Rfam family "Bacterial small subunit ribosomal RNA", at positions 28 to 513 of the family's 1533-position model. The record is from RNAcentral.